GCGCCCUUAGCUCAGUUGGAUAGAGCAACAGAUUUCUAAUCUGUGGGUCACUGGUUCGAGUCCAGUAGGGCGUG
RNAcentral lists this transfer RNA (74 nucleotides) under Verrucomicrobiia bacterium Tous-C2TDCM. RNAcentral's name for it is "Verrucomicrobiae bacterium Tous-C2TDCM tRNA-Arg". It matches the Rfam family "tRNA". From Rfam's summary of the family: Transfer RNA (tRNA) molecules are approximately 80 nucleotides in length. Their secondary structure includes four short double-helical elements and three loops (D, anti-codon, and T loops). Further hydrogen bonds mediate the characteristic L-shaped molecular structure. tRNAs have two regions of fundamental functional importance: the anti-codon, which is responsible for specific mRNA codon recognition, and the 3' end, to which the tRNAs corresponding amino acid is attached (by aminoacyl-tRNA synthetases). tRNAs cope with the degeneracy of the genetic code in two manners: having more than one tRNA (with a specific anti-codon) for a particular amino acid; and 'wobble' base-pairing, i.e. permitting non-standard base-pairing at the 3rd anti-codon position. RNAcentral also lists the same sequence under 1 other name. Lineage: Bacteria; Pseudomonadati; Verrucomicrobiota; Verrucomicrobiia. The record is from RNAcentral.